Molecule: ribosomal RNA, 504 nt
Filed under: Muzimes collaris
Lineage: Eukaryota; Metazoa; Arthropoda; Insecta; Coleoptera; Meloidae
Description: partial large subunit ribosomal RNA
Rfam family: Bacterial large subunit ribosomal RNA
Source: RNAcentral
CGCCUGUUUAUCAAAAACAUGUCUUUUUGUUAAUUAUUUAAAGUCUGGCCUGCUCCAUGAGUUUAAUUAAAUAGCCGCAGUAUUUUGACUGUGCAAAGGUAGCAUAAUCAUUAGUUUCUUGAUUGGAAGCUGGAAUGAAGGGUCGGAUGAGAAAGGCUCUGUCUCACUAUUAUUUUACUUGAAUUUUAUAUUUAGGUUAAAAAGCCUAGAUUUUAUAGGAAGACGAGAAGACCCUAUAGAGUUUUAUAGGUUUACUUUUCAAUUAUUUUUGGGUGUUAAUUUUAUUGUUUUGUAACUUAUUUAGUUGGGGUGACUUAAGAAUGGGAUAAACUUCUUAUUAAAAAUACAAUGAUUAUUGAGUAUAUGAUCCUGGGAUCUGGAUUAUAAGAAUAAAUUACCUUAGGGAUAACAGCGUAAUUUUUUUAGAGAGUUCUUAUCGAUAAAAGAGAUUGCGACCUCGAUGUUGGAUUAAAGUUAAGUUCUGGUGCAGAAGCUAGGGAUUUG